Small nucleolar RNA from Salmo trutta (river trout), 147 nucleotides. NCBI's taxonomy places the organism in Eukaryota, Metazoa, Chordata, Actinopteri, Salmoniformes, Salmonidae. The record is from Ensembl.
CUUCAGUGAUGAUACGAUGACGAGUCGGAAUGGGACAGUCCGUCUCUGGGGUCGCUGAGUCAGGGUCACGUUCUGUGUCUCUGGAUUCAGUUCCCCAGAGCAGCGUGUCUCUUCAGUUGAAGACAUUGAGGCAUUUGUCUGAGAAGG